UGAACGCUAGCGACAGGCCUAACACAUGCAAGUCGAGGGGCAGCGCGGGAGAAGCUUGCUUUCCUGGCGGCGACCGGCGCACGGGUGCGUAACAGGUGUGCAAUCUGUCCAUAGUCGGGGGAUAGCCCAGCGAAAGCUGAAUUAAUACUCCAUGUGAAUCGAAGCCGCAUGACUUUGAUUUGAAACGCAAGGACUAUGGGUGAGCACGCUUCUGAUUAGCUAGUUGGUGGGGUAACGGCUCACCAAGGCGACGAUCAGUAGGGGUUCUGAGAGGAAGGUCCCCCACAUUGGAACUGAGACACGGUCCAAACUCCUACGGGAGGCAGCAGUGAGGAAUAUUGGUCAAUGGGCGAGAGCCUGAACCAGCCAAGUCGCCGUGAAGGAUGAAGGUUCUAUGGAUUGUAAACUUCUUUUGUCCGAGGGUAAAAAAGGCUACGUGUAGCUUCUUGCAAGUAUCGGACGAAUAAGCAUCGGCUAACUCCGUGCCAGCCGCCGC
This 496-nucleotide ribosomal RNA is filed under the name uncultured bacterium. Its description in RNAcentral is "bacterial SSU rRNA". It matches the Rfam family "Bacterial small subunit ribosomal RNA", at positions 30 to 518 of the family's 1533-position model. The record is from RNAcentral.